This 707-nucleotide ribosomal RNA is filed under the name uncultured bacterium. RNAcentral describes it as "bacterial SSU rRNA". It matches the Rfam family "Bacterial small subunit ribosomal RNA", at positions 777 to 1496 of the family's 1533-position model. The record is from RNAcentral.
AUUAGAUACCCUGGUAGUCCGCGCGGUAAACGAUGGAUGCCCGCUGUCGGCGAUAUACAGUCGGCGGCCAAGCGAAAGCGUUAAGCAUCCCACCUGGGGAGUACGCCGGCAACGGUGAAACUCAAAGGAAUUGACGGGGGCCCGCACAAGCGGAGGAACAUGUGGUUUAAUUCGAUGAUACGCGAGGAACCUUACCCGGGCUUGAAUUGCAGAGGAAAGAUCCAGAGAUGGUGAUGCCCUUCGGGGCCUCUGUGAAGGUGCUGCAUGGUUGUCGUCAGCUCGUGCCGUGAGGUGUCGGCUUAAGUGCCAUAACGAGCGCAACCCCUUUCCCUAGUUGCCAUCGGUUCUAGCCGGGCACUCUGGGGACACUGCCUCCGCAAGGAGUGAGGAAGGUGGGGAUGACGUCAAAUCAGCACGGCCCUUACGUCCGGGGCUACACACGUGUUACAAUGGGUGAUACAGAGGGCCGGCCGCUGGCAACAUCGGUCCAAUCCUUAAAGUCAUCCUCAGUUCGGACUGGGGUCUGCAACCCGACCCCACGAAGCUGGAUUCGCUAGUAAUCGCGCAUCAGCCAUGGCGCGGUGAAUACGUUCCCGGGCCUUGUACACACCGCCCGUCAAGCCAUGAAAGCCGGGGGCGCCUGAAGUCCGUGACCGCGAGGGUCGGCCUAGGGUGAAACCGGUGAUUGGGGCUAAGUCGUAACAAGG